CACUCUCCAUGUGAGUCUGCC
Molecule: unclassified non-coding RNA, 21 nt
Filed under: Mus musculus (house mouse)
Lineage: Eukaryota; Metazoa; Chordata; Mammalia; Rodentia; Muridae
Description: oocyte_clustered_small_RNA11608
Source: RNAcentral